ACGCUCGACACCUACGGGAGGCAGCAGUUAGGAAUAUUGGGCAAUGGAGGGAAACUCUGACCCAGCAACGCCGCGUGAAGGAAGAAGGUUUUCGGAUUGUAAACUUCUGAUCUAGGGAAGAAGAGUGACGGUACCCUAGGAGAAAGCCACGGCUAACUACGUGCCGGCAGCCGCGGUAAUCUGAGCGGGCUGGCAAGGC
Molecule: ribosomal RNA, 199 nt
Filed under: uncultured bacterium
Lineage: Bacteria
Description: partial 16S ribosomal RNA
Rfam family: Bacterial small subunit ribosomal RNA
Source: RNAcentral